CAAGACGCCCAGAAGUACUGUAGC
RNAcentral lists this microRNA (24 nucleotides) under Ananas comosus (pineapple). Its description in RNAcentral is "microRNA s1390_c055b". Lineage: Eukaryota; Viridiplantae; Streptophyta; Magnoliopsida; Poales; Bromeliaceae. The record is from RNAcentral.